AGGGACACCCCAGUUACAAGUGCGCCCUGGGAGACAUCCAUCGACCAGGGCCCGUGAGAGGCUGAAGCAGAGGCUGCUGCAGAAGCUGAGGCAAAAACGCAAGGUCCUGAUGGAACGCAGAAGGAUGAUCAUCCAGAACAUCCCUGACUUCUGGUCUAAAGUUUUUGUGAACCAUUCCCAGAUUUCACCCAUCAUCUGUGAUAAGGAUGAAGACAUUCUUAGCUGCAUGACCAACCUAGAGGUGGCCAAACUCAAGCAUCCCAGGAAGCGCUUCAAGAUCAGGUUGUUCUUCCGCAGCAAUCCCUACUUCU
Ochotona princeps (American pika) is the source of this 311-nucleotide long non-coding RNA. RefSeq lists it as uncharacterized. The record is from RefSeq and is a predicted model, not a curated record. Lineage: Eukaryota; Metazoa; Chordata; Mammalia; Lagomorpha; Ochotonidae. The transcript is spliced from 3 exons.